RNAcentral lists this ribosomal RNA (386 nucleotides) under Platocoelotes shuiensis. RNAcentral describes it as "partial 16S ribosomal RNA". Lineage: Eukaryota; Metazoa; Arthropoda; Arachnida; Araneae; Agelenidae. The record is from RNAcentral.
CUCAAUGAAAAUUCAAUAGCCGCAAUUUUGUGCUAAGGUAGCAUAAUCAUUUGUUUUUUAAUUAAAAACUAGAACGAAAGAUUCAACAUUUCAAUUUCUUUCUUACAUAUAAAAAUUUAAUUUAUUCUAAAUAUAAAAAAAUAUUUUUUAUUUAAAAAGACGACAAGACCCUAUUGAACUUAACUAAAGUUCAACUGGGGUAGUUAAUUAAACAUAAUUUUAAUUUAAAUUUAUAAAAAAUCUAAUAUAAUUAAAUAAUAAGUUACCAUAGGGAUAACAGCGUAAUAAAUUUCACAAGAUCAUAUUUAAAAAAUUGUUUACGACCUCGAUGUUGAAUUAAUAAUCUAUUAAAUGCAAUAAUUUAAUAACGAAAGUCUGUUCGACUU